CUUGUAUUGUCUUUUGUAGUGAAUAUCGUUGUGGAAGGAGAACCCAAACUGGUUUAAAAGAACAUAUUUGUUGCUACGGUUACGAGCUCAGGGACGGGCGCUGUGUUGAUGCUACCAUGAAGUAGGAUGUGUACCUGAUGUAUUACUCAUCACAGAAGCUGUCACAACAGAUGAUUAUACUGAAGGUAUUAAUGAAGUUGUUCAUUUGUUUCCCGA
Mytilus californianus (California mussel) is the source of this 216-nucleotide long non-coding RNA. RefSeq lists it as uncharacterized. The record is from RefSeq and is a predicted model, not a curated record. The transcript has 3 exons. NCBI's taxonomy places the organism in Eukaryota, Metazoa, Mollusca, Bivalvia, Mytilida, Mytilidae.